GACGAACGCUGGCGGCGUGCCUAAUACAUGCAAGUCGAGCGGGGAUUAUGCUUGAUCGCUUCGGUGAGACGGCAUAUAUCCUAGCGGCGGACGGGUGAGUAACGCGUGGGUAAUCUACCUCGUAGUUCGGGAUAACAGGCCGAAAGGCUUGCUAAUACCGGAUGAGUUCAUGCUUAUGCAUAUAGGCAUGAAGAAAGGGCUAGCCCGCUAUGAGAUGAGCCCGCGUCCCAUUAGCUUGUUGGUGGGGUAAUGGCCUACCAAGGCAACGAUGGGUAGCCGGCCUGAGAGGGUGUACGGCCACACUGGGACUGAGACACGGCCCAGACUCCUACGGGGGCAGCAGUAGGGAAUUUUCGGCAAUGGGCGAAAGCCUGACCGAGCGACGCCGCGUGAGGGACGAAGGCCUUCGGGUUGUAAACCUCUGUCUGGGGGAUGAGAACGGACGGUACCCCGGACGGAAGCCCCGGCUAACUACGUG
RNAcentral lists this ribosomal RNA (478 nucleotides) under uncultured bacterium. RNAcentral's name for it is "bacterial SSU rRNA". It matches the Rfam family "Bacterial small subunit ribosomal RNA", at positions 28 to 507 of the family's 1533-position model. The record is from RNAcentral.